Rattus norvegicus (Norway rat) is the source of this 119-nucleotide ribosomal RNA. Lineage: Eukaryota; Metazoa; Chordata; Mammalia; Rodentia; Muridae. The record is from Ensembl.
GUCUAUGGCCAUACCACCCUGAACGCGCCUGAUCUCGUCUGAUCUUGGAAGCUAAGCAGGGUCGGGCCUAGUUAGUACUUGGAUGGGAGACUGCCUGGGAAUACUGGGUGCUGUAGGCU